GAUGAACGCUGGCGGCGUGCCUAAUACAUGCAAGUCGAGCGAACGGACGAGAAGCUUGCUUCUCUGAUGUUAGCGGCGGACGGGUGAGUAACACGUGGAUAACCUACCUAUAAGACUGGGAUAACUUCGGGAAACCGGAGCUAAUACCGGAUAAUAUUUUGAACCGCAUGGUUCAAAAGUGAAAGACGGUCUUGCUGUCGCUUAUAGAUGGAUCCGCGCUGCAUUAGCUAGUUGGUAAGGUAACGGCUUACCAAGGCAACGAUGCAUAGCCGACCUGAGAGGGUGAUCGGCCACACUGGAACUGAGACACGGUCCAGACGCCUACGGGAGGCAGCAGUAGGGAAUCUUCCGCAAUGGGCGAAAGCCUGACGGAGCAACGCCGCGUGAGUGAUGAAGGUCUUCGGAUCGUAAAACUCUGUUAUUAGGGAAGAACAUAUGUGUAAGUAACUGUGCACAUCUUGACGGUACCUAAUCAGAAAGCCACGGCUAACUACGUG
This 497-nucleotide ribosomal RNA is filed under the name uncultured bacterium. RNAcentral describes it as "partial 16S ribosomal RNA". It matches the Rfam family "Bacterial small subunit ribosomal RNA", at positions 28 to 507 of the family's 1533-position model. The record is from RNAcentral.